Molecule: long non-coding RNA, 2697 nt
Filed under: Octopus vulgaris (common octopus)
Lineage: Eukaryota; Metazoa; Mollusca; Cephalopoda; Octopoda; Octopodidae
Source: RNAcentral
CUCGUUGUUUAUAUCUGGAUCUGGUAAGUUGAGCAAGAUUUCCUUUCAGGAUGUAAUCAUGAUAAUAAUACUACUAAUGAUAAUGGAAGAUAAUAGAUUUAUGUGAACUUCUCUCGAUGUUAGAGUAAUUAUUUCGAAGCGGGAACCUGACAACAGUUUAGAGUAACACAUUUAUGUCGUAUUGCCAUUCUUUCAAUGCCUCAAUGUACUCUGACCCCUAAAAACAUUUAAUAGAUGACAACGUUGAAUUAGUGUAUCAUCUAACUAUUCUCUUUAUCUUGAUGUUUCUUUUCCUAUUUCAGAAUAUCACCUUAUGUUGACACACAAGAAACCUCUUCAUUCAGAUGUGCCUUUCAUAUUUUGACGUCGUUUCACCAACUAAAGCAAGAUGACGUGAUUUAUCAGCAGCAUUCAUCAAUACAUCAAAAUUUAUAUGAAUACAAUAUUCUUCAUGUCUUCACUGUUUGGAAUGUAGAGGAAGUGAUUGCCUUACAGGUUAAUUAAGGUGGGAUAACUUUACAAACAAGUUGACGAUUUUCUAUCAGCUCAUUUAGAUAUUAUGAUCACAGAUGGAAGAAAGAUAGCUGCAAAUUCUUUUCUAGAUAGAGUGGCAGAACUGAAAACAAAGAUAUUUAUAGAGAUGAAGGAAACAUUAUUAUUGUGAUAUGUAUAAUAAAUUAUUCUUUCACAAUGAAUAAAUUAACUGAAGCAAAAAGCGAUGAUACAAGAGUGAAACAAUAUUUCUGUGACAUUUGUGGUAAAUUAUUCCAUUCUAGUAGUCACUUGACUAGUCACAGACGUAUCCAUACUGGAGAAAAGCCAUAUCAUUGUGAUAUCUGUGGUAAAUCAUUCUCACAUAGUAGUGGCUUGACUAUGCACAAACGAACACAUACAGGGGAAAAGCCAUAUUGUUGUGAAAUCUGUGGUAAAUCAUUCUGUGCAAGUAGUGACUUGACUAAGCAUAAUCGUACACAUACAGGAGAAAAGCCAUUUAAUUGUGAUAUCUGUGGUAAAUCGUUCUCUGAAAGGGGGUCCUUGAAUCACCACAAACAUGUUCAUACAGGAGAAAGGCCAUAUUGUUGUGAAAUCUGUGGUAAAUCAUUCUGUCAAAUGAGUGACUUGACUAAGCACAAUCGUACCCAUACAGGAGAAAGGCCAUAUCAUUGUGAUAUCUGUGGUGUAUCAUUCUGUGACAGGAGUAAUUUGACUCGGCAUAAAUAUACACAUACAGGAGAAGAGCCAUGUCAAUGUGAUAUUUGUGGUAAAUCAAUCUGUCGAAGCAUUGACAUGACUAGACACAAACGUACUCAUACAGGGGAAAAGCCAUAUCAUUGUGAUAUCUGUGGUAAAUCAUUCCCUGAAAGAAAUAACUUGACUAUGCACAAAUAUACACAUACAGGAGAAAAGCCAUAUCAUUGUGAUAUCUGUGGUAAAUCAUUCUCUCAAAGAAAUAACUUGCCUACGCACAAACGUACACAUACCGGAGAAAAGCCAUAUCAUUGUGAUAUCUGUGGUAAAUCAUUCUCUGUAAGGAGUAAUUUCACUACACACACACGUACACAUACAGGAGAAAAGCCAUAUCAUUGUGAAAUCUGUGGUAAAUCAUUCUCUGUAAGGUGUAACUUGACUACACACAGAUGUACACUUACAGGAGAAAAGCCAAAUCAUUGGAAGUUUAAAGAAUGUUAACCCUUCUGAUACCAACCCAGCUGGCACCCCCUUUGAAUCUGCUGUAAAAAUUUCAUGUUUUCUUAAGUUUUGAAUUUAAAUUUUCCACUAUACCUUAGUCACAGUUUAUGAUCCUAAAACUAGGUUGAUAGUAAUCGCCAAUUUAUUUUAUGAAGCUGUUCUUUGUAUUUAUAAUGAAUUAAAAGACGAAAAGAGCAUCUCUACAGAAUUAUAGUAACAAAUGGGUUGAAGGAAAUGAAUGUAUUUAUUCUGAAACAAGACAUAUUUUGAGAACAAUUCUAUCAGAACGUAUAUAAACAAUAUCAGUAAAAGAAAUCUUGAAAUCAAUCACAGUUUAAUUUUGUAGAACUUCCAAAUAUACAAUGUUUUCAGUGUGUCCUUUAAUUGGGAUAGAAAUAAAAAGAGUUUCAGGACUUCCAACUUGCAAACAUCCUACAUAUAAUUGCCCAUGAAAGAAGCAAGGUUAAGUCCAAGAACCUUGAGAGAUUGUCUUUGAGAUUUGUUUAUGAGCAUAGCAAAACUUGGUUUCACUGGGAACUGGAGCCAUUUAAAUUGAUAGGGGAGAUAAGAUGGUACUAAUUACAUCCGUGGAAUGAAGACAUCCUCACCUUUAUAUUUCCCUGUGAUAAUUGUUGCCUCUAAGACAUAGGGUUCCAUUGCUUUCACUACCAUUUGUCCUAUGAAGAAAGGCUGAAGACGCUCGACCUUUAUUCUCUAGAAAAACGAUGACGCCGUGGUUUUCUCAUUCUUGCUCACAACAUCAUAAGCAGAAAGUGUAACAUCUCAAAAGAGCUGUUCUUCACUCCUGCUCCAGAGCGUGGGCUGUGGGGUCACUCCAAUAAGCUCUAUCUGUGACGAUUUCAUCUCAAUCGAAGGAGAGUGGCGUUGUCCCUCCGUGUUGCGGAUCUGUGGAAUAAGCUGCCGGACAAGAUAGUGAAGAUGCCGACGACCGCUCGGUUCAAAGUCUCUCUUGACCAGAAAUGGCCUGAACUCUUUGCAUGAACACCC